CAAUACUAUUGCUCUGAGUCCAUAACAAAACUCUCUCUCAAUCUCUCCUACGUUUCCCUCUCGCAGCCGUCGCCAUUGAGCUGCCAACCAGAGUCUGCAGCAGAUCCAGCCUAUGGUUCCGCCUCGGACCACCAUAGACAGUGCCGGUGUCACCCACACAGCAAACUCCACCGUGAGAUCCAGCCCCCAAUGCCCUUCUCUCUCCUUCUCUGUUUCUCCGUUUCUCCCAUCUCUCGGCCUCCACCCACCAAGGACAGUCCAAACCUCACUUCCAGCCACCAACUGACAGCCAUGGGGCUGCCUUGCACCACCUAGGGUUUCUCAAUCGAUUUUUAAUCGGGAGUAAGAGUGAGAGAAUCUGUAGCAAUGGCGAGGUACACGAAUCGUACCAGAAGUUACAGCCCUCGCCGGUGGAGCAGAACCCCGCCACUCGGCCGCAAGCAAUACGAAGAUGACCAUCGCGAUCACUAUCGCGAAGGCAGGUCCUAUAGAGACCGUCCCUCCCCUGUUCCCUCUAGUUUGCUGGUCCGCAAUCUCCCCAUUGACUGAAUGAUCUCCUAUUAAAGAAUGAAAUUUUUGAGAUUUUGGACUACGAUGUGCAUGAUAGAAGAUCUUAGGAUUCCAUCUGAGUGAUAUGGUCCGGUGAAAGAUGUUUAUCUGCCAAAGAACUACUAUACCGGUGUGGUGGUGUGUUGUGUUGACAGGCCGACUGAUGGGAGGAGGUGAGGUGUGCCCUUGUCCCCAAACGAGACUGUCUGCAUCUGCAUUUCUCUCACGUUUUCACAAAAUGCAAGACAUAAUUAGCCAAACCCCCUCAAAACCCAACCCAUCUUCUCUUCACUACAGUCUACCGCUGUUGUCCCCAUUGCUGCUACUGCGGCUCCCGCCAAUGAUGCCGCUGUCAUCGUUGUUGAUGUUGACAUUGUUACUGCCUCUUAUGAAGCACUAGAUUUUCUCCACCGAUUUUUCCUAUCGAUUUUCCCUUCAUCUCGAAGAUCCCUACAGAUGAGUUUUUGCUUAAUCUCCCCAAAUGUUGCCCACCAAUGGUUUUUGCAAUGGGUGUGUGCAGGGAUCAUCAAAACCAGGUACAAUUGGGAAAAUCUCUAUUGAUUUUGCAUACUAUGCUUAGGCGACCAAGCUCUCGUCUGCCUCUCUUCCCCUUAAGAAUUCAAACUUGAAUCCGGUUUUGCAUGUUUUGAUUCAGAGGCUGUAGGCGGAUGCCAAUCAAAGGGUAGUAGAACAUGUGAAGAGUCGAGCAUAAAAUUUAGGGAUCAGAGCUUGAUGAUAUCAUUGUAAACCAUCCUACUGAAGUAAGGUUUCAUCACAUCCAGCCAAACAAAUUUGGCUUUCCUACACAUCACCUUUACAUUUUGUCAUCUAAUUUUUUUUAUCCCCUAGAAAAAGGGGAAUGGGAAAGGGAGAGGGAGGUUGUGGGGAGUAAUGGUGCAAAAACUUGCUUCAUGCUUGUACAGUUUAGCUCAAGUAUGCGAACUGUUGCAGCAACCAGGAUGGGCCAACCAAUAAAACUACUCACAAUUCUGAAUUGAAUGGUAACCAAUACGAGGUCUAUAGCAAUUUGUCCCCGGUUUUCUUUUGUGACUUGAUUGGACAUGGGUACAGAUAAUAAGUAUAUAUGACAAUGCUUUGCCUGUCCACGAACCCAAACUGAAGAACCAUUUACCAUAUCCCCAAAAUAUUGCAGAACGCUUCAGAAAAGGAGUGAAUCAUCCACUUUGGUGAAGAAGUAGAUCAAUUUCGACAACAACGUCAUAACAGAUUUAAUGUCCUGUCCAUUACCCCCGUCAAUAAAACACCAACAUAAACUCUGAAUAUCGAUUCCCACCAAACUGUGCAGCCAUGAAACAUUGGCAUGACAUCUACUGUUGGCUAAAAAAAUUGUAAUAUAAAUUGUCAUGCUUUGCUUAUUCACUAAGCUUGCAUGAAUUUACGAUCUGUUUUAACUUUGUACUGUUUCACUUGGUACUUUAUGAACAUAUUCAAAUUAUAUACUUUGUAUGUUUACUUUGCCAUCCUAUGUACUUUGUCCAGUUUAUGCAUCCACAUAUUUCU
Molecule: long non-coding RNA, 2070 nt
Organism: Juglans regia (Persian walnut)
Lineage: Eukaryota; Viridiplantae; Streptophyta; Magnoliopsida; Fagales; Juglandaceae
Exons: 9
Source: RefSeq, a predicted model, not a curated record